RNAcentral lists this ribosomal RNA (301 nucleotides) under uncultured bacterium. RNAcentral describes it as "partial 16S ribosomal RNA". It matches the Rfam family "Bacterial small subunit ribosomal RNA", at positions 509 to 807 of the family's 1533-position model. The record is from RNAcentral.
CAGUAGCCGCGGUAAUACGGAGGGGGCUAGCGUUGUUCGGAAUUACUGGGCGUAAAGCGUGCGCAGGCGGCCAUUCAAGUUAGAUGUGAAAUCCCUGGGCUCAACCUAGGAAUUGCAUUUGAUACUGUUUGGCUUGAGUUCGGGAGAGGUGAGUGGAAUUCCCAGUGUAGAGGUGAAAUUCGUAGAUAUUGGGAAGAACACCAGUGGCGAAGGCGGCUCACUGGACCGACACUGACGCUGAGGUGCGAAAGCGUGGGGAGCGAACAGGAUUAGAUACCCCGGUAGUCCCUGUCUCUUAUAC